This 433-nucleotide ribosomal RNA is filed under the name uncultured bacterium. RNAcentral's name for it is "partial 16S ribosomal RNA". It matches the Rfam family "Bacterial small subunit ribosomal RNA", at positions 29 to 507 of the family's 1533-position model. The record is from RNAcentral.
AACGAACGCUAGCGGCAUGCCUAACACAUGCAAGUCGAACGAGACCUUCGGGUCUAGUGGCGCACGGGUGCGUAACGCGUGGGAAUCUACCCUCAGGUUCGGAAUAACUCAGAGAAAUUUGAGCUAAUACCGGAUGAUGACGUAAGUCCAAAGAUUUAUCGCCUGAGGAUGAGCCCGCUUAGGAUUAGGUAGUUGGUGAGGUAAAGGCUCACCAAGCCGACGAUCCUUAGCUGGUCUGAGAGGAUGAUCAGCCACACUGGGACUGAGACACGGCCCAGACUCCUACGGGAGGCAGCAGUGGGGAAUAUUGGACAAUGGGCGAAAGCCUGAUCCAGCAAUGCCGCGUGAGUGAUGAAGGCCUUAGGGUUGUAAAGCUCUUUUACCCGGGAUGAUAAUGACAGUACCGGGAGAAUAAGCUCCGGCUAACUCCGUG